UGUUCNGUAACCUAGUUGAUGUCAGUAACC
This 30-nucleotide non-coding RNA is filed under the name Rattus norvegicus (Norway rat). The record is from RNAcentral. Lineage: Eukaryota; Metazoa; Chordata; Mammalia; Rodentia; Muridae.